GGGAUUUCAGCUGGGAUGAGGAUUCGCUCCUCUUGCAGCUCAAGGAUGGGCUUGGGGAAGACCUCGAAGUCAUUUACAUUGGUUGUCUGAGAGAGGAGAUCGAGCCGAGAGAGCAGGAUGAUGUGGCUCAGACCCUGCUCGAGACCUUCAAAUGCGUCCCCGCGUUCCUCCCCUCGGAACUUUUCACUAGAUUCUACCAUGGGUCGGC
This 208-nucleotide unclassified non-coding RNA is filed under the name Hevea brasiliensis (rubber tree). Lineage: Eukaryota; Viridiplantae; Streptophyta; Magnoliopsida; Malpighiales; Euphorbiaceae. The record is from RNAcentral.